GUUCGGAUUGUAGGCUGAAACUCGCCUACAUGAAGCUGGAAUUGCUAGUAAUCACAGGUCAGCAUACUGUGGUGAAUACGUUCCCGGGCCUUGUACACACCGCCCGUCACACCAUGAGAGUUGAGAAUACCCGAAGCCCAUGUCAAAGUGGUCGAAGGUAGGCUUGAUGAUUGGGGUGAAGUCGUAACAAGGUAGC
Molecule: ribosomal RNA, 196 nt
Filed under: uncultured bacterium
Lineage: Bacteria
Description: partial 16S ribosomal RNA
Rfam family: Bacterial small subunit ribosomal RNA
Source: RNAcentral